Molecule: ribosomal RNA, 413 nt
Filed under: uncultured bacterium
Lineage: Bacteria
Description: bacterial SSU rRNA
Rfam family: Bacterial small subunit ribosomal RNA
Source: RNAcentral
GUGCCAGCCGCCGCGGUAAUACGGAGGGUGCGAGCGUUAAUCGGAAUUACUGGGCGUAAAGGGCGCGUAGGCGGUCGCGCAAGUCGGGUGUGAAAGCCCCGGGCUCAACCUGGGAAUUGCAUUCGAUACUGCGUAACUAGAGUCUGGUAGAGGGAAGCGGAAUUCCGCAUGUAGCGGUGAAAUGCGUAGAUAUGCGGAGGAACACCAGUGGCGAAGGCGGCUUCCUGGACCAAGACUGACGCUGAGGCGCGAAAGCGUGGGGAGCAAACAGGAUUAGAUACCCUGGUAGUCCACGCCCUAAACGAUGAGGACUAGACGUUGGGGGGAUAAAACCCUUUAGUGUCGCAGCUAACGCGUGAAGUCCUCCGCCUGGGGAGUACGGCCGCAAGGUUGAAACUUAAAGGAAUUGGCGG